Molecule: ribosomal RNA, 300 nt
Filed under: uncultured Lactobacillus sp.
Lineage: Bacteria; Bacillati; Bacillota; Bacilli; Lactobacillales; Lactobacillaceae
Description: bacterial SSU rRNA
Rfam family: Bacterial small subunit ribosomal RNA (bases 56-300)
Source: RNAcentral
GGGGUAGGAGGUGCCAGGUGCCGCGGGAAGGCGUAGAGGGGAUGUGUGAUGCGGGAUUAUGGGGCGGAAAGGGGGUGGUGGGGGGUUUUUAAGGCUGAGGUGAAAGCCCGCGGCUCAACCGGGGAGGGGCAUUGGAAACUGGAAAACUGGAGUGCAGAAGAGGAAAGUGGAAUUCCAGGUGUAGCGGUGAAAUGCGCAGAGAUAUGGAGGAACACCAGUGGCGAAGGCGACUUUCUGGUCUGCAACUGACGCUGAUGUGCGAAAGCGUGGGGAUCAAACAGGAUUAGAUACCCUAGAGUC